CAGUAGCCACGGGAAUACAGAGGGUGCAAGCGUUAAUCGGAAUUACUGGGCGUAAAGCGCGCGUAGGUGGUUUGUUAAGUUGGAUGUGAAAUCCCCGGGCUCAACCUGGGAACUGCAUCCAAAACUGGCAAGCUAGAGUAUGGUAGAGGGUGGUGGAAUUUCCUGUGUAGCGGUGAAAUGCGUAGAUAUAGGAAGGAACACCAGUGGCGAAGGCGACCACCUGGACUGAUACUGACAUUGAGGUGCGAAAGCGUGGGGAGCAAACAGGAUUAGAUACCCCCGUAGUCCCUGUCUCUUAUAC
Molecule: ribosomal RNA, 301 nt
Filed under: uncultured bacterium
Lineage: Bacteria
Description: partial 16S ribosomal RNA
Rfam family: Bacterial small subunit ribosomal RNA
Source: RNAcentral